Molecule: ribosomal RNA, 555 nt
Filed under: uncultured bacterium
Lineage: Bacteria
Description: partial 16S ribosomal RNA
Rfam family: Bacterial small subunit ribosomal RNA
Source: RNAcentral
UAGGGAAUCUUCCACAAUGGACGCAAGUCUGAUGGAGCAACGCCGCGUGAGUGAAGAAGGUUUUCGGACCGUAAAGCUCUGUUGUUGGUGAAGAAGGAUAGAGGUAGUAACUGGCCUUUAUUUGACGGUAAUCAACCAGAAAGUCACGGCUAACUACGUGCCAGCAGCCGCGGUAAUACGUAGGUGGCAAGCGUUGUCCGGAUUUAUUGGGCGUAAAGCGAGCGCAGGCGGAAGAAUAAGUCUGAUGUGAAAGCCCUCGGCUUAACCGAGGAAUUGCAUCGGAAACUGUUUUCUUGAGUGCAGAAGAGGAGAGUAGAACUCCAUGUGUAGCGUAGUAGAUGCGUAGAUAUAUGGAAGAAUACCAGUGGCGAAGGCGGCUCUCUGGUCUGCAACUGACGCUGAGGCUCGAAAGCAUGGGUAGCGAACAGGAUUAGAUACCCUGGUAGUCCAUGCCGUAAACGAUGAGUGCUAAGUGUUGGGAGGCUUCCGCCUCUCAGUGCUGCAGCUAACGCAUUAAGCACUCCGCCUGGGGGAGUACGACCGCAAGGUUGAAAC